AAACUGGUCUUUAGGUCCAUACCACAAAUACACAAGGUAGAGAGAGUUACCAAAAUGUUUCAACAAAACUUUAACACCAUGAUCAUGUUCAUCUUUAUCCUGUGUUCCUUCUCAAAAGAGGCCAUAGCCCAAACAAAAGAGGCUGCACAUGAUGUGAGACUUGUCAAUGUAGUCCGAUUGAUAAGUUCAACUGUUGUGGUCGUACUUCUACUGACUGUAGUGGCUGUUAUUACUACUGUCCAAACAUGACGCAGCAACUGAAGGGCCUAAAGCAGAAGCCGUGUACCAGACCACACACAUAGACAGGAUGUUGUCAGUACAUUUAAUAACGGCAAGCUGCAAUCUAUUUUCAAGCCAUACAUUACAUGUGGACUGUUGAUCUUGCAUUGUGCAAACAUACAAUAUCUGUCUUGUCUACUCACUCCUUGCAUGCUGUAGUUUAAUGUAGUGGACAUUACUGUUUGUCAACUCCACAUUUUCAUUAUGUUGAUGACUGACACACUCAGUAUUCCAUUUCAUGUUUUACUCAUGCACUAGUUGAGCUACUGAGCUAGUGAACAACAAUGUAUGGAUCCCUGCAAUGG
Molecule: long non-coding RNA, 584 nt
Organism: Salvelinus sp. IW2-2015
Lineage: Eukaryota; Metazoa; Chordata; Actinopteri; Salmoniformes; Salmonidae
Source: RefSeq, a predicted model, not a curated record